RNAcentral lists this ribosomal RNA (301 nucleotides) under uncultured bacterium. RNAcentral describes it as "partial 16S ribosomal RNA". It matches the Rfam family "Bacterial small subunit ribosomal RNA", at positions 509 to 807 of the family's 1533-position model. The record is from RNAcentral.
CAGCCGCCGCGGGAAUACGGAGGGUGCAAGCGUUAAUCGGAAUUACUGGGCGUAAAGCGCACGCAGGCGGUCUGUCAAGUCAGAUGUGAAAUCCCCGGGCUUAACCUGGGAACUGCAUUUGAAACUGGCAGGCUAGAGUCUUGUAGAGGGGGGUAGAAUUCCAGGUGUAGCGGUGAAAUGCGUAGAGAUCUGGAGGAAUACCGGUGGCGAAGGCGGCCCCCUGGACAAAGACUGACGCUCAGGUGCGAAAGCGUGGGGAGCAAACAGGAUUAGAGACCCCUGUAGUCCCUGUCUCUUAUAC